This 947-nucleotide non-coding RNA is filed under the name Danionella dracula. RNAcentral's name for it is "12S rRNA". It matches the Rfam family "Bacterial small subunit ribosomal RNA". The record is from RNAcentral. Lineage: Eukaryota; Metazoa; Chordata; Actinopteri; Cypriniformes; Danionidae.
UAAAGGCAUGGUCCCGACCUUUAAAUCGACUUUUAUCCAACUUACACAUGCAAGUAUCCGCACUCCAGUGAGUAUGCUCUUGACUCUACAUCUAUAGACUAAGAAACAAGUAUCAGGCUCAAACGAUUAGCCCAUGACACUAAGCUUAGCCACGCCCACAAGGGGAUCCAGCAGUGAUAAACAUUAAACAAUAAGUGAAAACUUGAUUCAGUUAAGAUAAAUAGGAUCGGUAAAACUCGUGCCAGCAACCGCGGUUAGACGAGAGAUCCCAGUCGACUAUAUAACGGCGUAAAGGGUGGUUAGGGAACUGUAAUAAUAGAACUAAAUGGCCCCUUAGCCGUCAUACGCUUUUAGACGCCUGAAACCCACUAACGAAAGUAGUUCUAAAAAUUAGCCCGAACCCACGAAAACCACGAAACAAACUGGGAUUAGAUACCCCACUAUGCCUAGUCAUAAACCAAGACAUUAUUACACAAUUAUGUCCGCCAGGAUACUACGAGCACCAGCUUAAAACCCCAAGGACCUGACGGCGCCUUAGACCCUUCUAGAGGAGCCUGUUCUAAAACCGAUUAUCCCCGUUAAACCUCACCACUUCUAGCAAGUCAGCCUAUAUACCACCGUCGCCAGCUUACCCUGUAAAGGUUAAAUAGUAAGCAGAAUUGGCAUAGCCAAAAACGUCAGGUCGAGGUGUAGCAAAUGAAGCGGGAAGAAAUGGGCUACAUUUUCUAAUGCAGAAUACACGAAUGUGCAAAUUGAAAUUAUGCCUGAAGGAGGAUUUAGUAGUAAAAAAGAAAUAGAGAGUCUUUUUGAACCCGGCUCUAAGGUGCGUACACACCGCCCGUCACUCCCUCCUGUCACAAGCACUGAUUUAUUUUAAAAAAUAGCAUAAACAAGGAGGGGAAAGUCGUAACAAGGUAAGUGUACCGGAAGGUGCACUUGGAAUAACC